UUAAGAAGCAUUUUAACCUUUCUUCCAACUCAUAACAAUAAUCAUCAUUGAUGUCUAUAACAAUAUUACUUAAUAGAUGGAAACAAACAAUAGUAACUAGUCAAAGCAUAUCACAUUUUUUACAAGUUUGUGUUGAAAAACUUAGUCAAAUUUAGUAAAAGUAAGGGAGAAAACAUAUUUUGAAAAUAUGAGUUUUACAUAUCUUGAAGCUACUUAUCACUCUUAAAAAUACAAGUUGUUCAAAAACUAGCGUAGAAGACUUCCACGGAAGUUUCCCGGAUC
Molecule: long non-coding RNA, 282 nt
Filed under: Brassica napus (rape)
Lineage: Eukaryota; Viridiplantae; Streptophyta; Magnoliopsida; Brassicales; Brassicaceae
Description: long non-coding RNA (BNAP_LNC008708)
Source: RNAcentral